This 66-nucleotide transfer RNA is filed under the name Chrysis sp. VS201. RNAcentral's name for it is "tRNA-Val". Lineage: Eukaryota; Metazoa; Arthropoda; Insecta; Hymenoptera; Chrysididae. The record is from RNAcentral.
AAAAUUUUAGUUUAAUGAUAAAAUGUUUCAUUUACAUUGAAAAGAUUUAUAAAAAUAAAAAUUUUA